CUUCCAGAUGGCACAUGUGUGAGAGCCUGGUGGGAUUCUGUAGGUGUUCCAUUCUUGCACAUUCUAGAAGCCAGGAGCAGAGAGUGAGAAGCAAGCAAUGAACUGAAUCAUGCCACCCUGGAAAAGGAAUACCAGGGCUGAGGCUGACCCUUGCUGUGGGAGAUGAGGCAGGCAAAGAGAGCCCUGAGGGCUGGGAAGAGUCCACUCCAAGCUGUCUCUCGGCAGCUCCAGGAACCACAGAGGACCUCAGAAGCAAGUCCAGCAGGUGUGAGCUUCCAGUGAAGAUGUACCUACAGGCCAUCAAAAUGCCCUGGAGAGCCGUGGAGUGUCCUUCCAUCCAUUUCUGUAGUUGGCAGUGAAGAAGCUGGAAUGCGGCUUACGGGCAUCAGCCUUACAGCCUGGUGCUCCCAAUCUGACUGGAUGCCCCUGCAGGGCCUGUUGUCCUGCCAGGCUGGAGCUGUUGGCCUUGGAGGAGCAAUGGUGGCUCAACUAGGUGUUGGUCCCAGGAUUAAGCAGGGGGGCACCCAGCAAGCACACAGUAAAAGUCUGUUGAAUGACUGAACCCUUGUCACUAGAAGUCAAGAAAUUAAAACAACUAUGCUGCCUUUUACUUCUCAGGCUAAAAGAAUGAAARUAUUCUGUGUUGGCAAGAACUGGGA
Molecule: long non-coding RNA, 659 nt
Filed under: Urocitellus parryii (Arctic ground squirrel)
Lineage: Eukaryota; Metazoa; Chordata; Mammalia; Rodentia; Sciuridae
Description: lncRNA (ENSUPAG00010016139.1)
Source: RNAcentral